UGAGAGUUUGAUCCUGGCUCAGAACGAACGCUGGCGGCAGGCUUAACACAUGCAAGUCGAACGCCCCGCAAGGGGAGCGGCAGACGGGUGAGUAACGCGUGGGAACCUACCCUUUCCCGCGGAAUAGCUCCGGGAAACUGGAAUUAAUACCGCAUACGCCCUACGGGGGAAAGAUUUAUCGGGGAAAGAUUGGCCCGCGUUGGAUUAGCUAGUUGGUGGGGUAAAGGCCUACCAAGGCGACGAUCCAUAGCUGGUCUGAGAGGAUGAUCAGCCACAUUGGGACUGAGACACGGCCCAAACUCCUACGGGAGGCAGCAGUGGGGAAUAUUGGACAAUGGGCGCAAGCCUGAUCCAGCCAUGCCGCGUGAGUGAUGGAGGCCUUAGGGUUGUAAAGCUCUUUCACCGAUGAAGAUAAUGACGGUAGUCGGAGAAGAAGCCCCGGCUAACUUCGUGCCAGCAGCCGCGGUAAUACGAAGGGGGCUAGCGUUGUUCGGAAUUACUGGGCGUAAAGCGCACGUAGGCGGAUAUUUAAGUCAGGGGUGAAAUCCCGCAGCUCAACUGCGGAACUGCCUUUGAUACUGGGUAUCUUGAGUAUGGAAGAGGUAAGUGGAAUUCCGAGUGUAGAGGUGAAAUUCGUAGAUAUUCGGAGGACACCAGUGGCGAAGCGGCUUACUGGUCCGUUACUGACGCUGAGUGCGAAAGCGUGGGGAGCAAACAGGAUUAGAUACCCUG
This 732-nucleotide ribosomal RNA is filed under the name uncultured bacterium. RNAcentral's name for it is "bacterial SSU rRNA". It matches the Rfam family "Bacterial small subunit ribosomal RNA", at positions 1 to 789 of the family's 1533-position model. The record is from RNAcentral.